RNAcentral lists this ribosomal RNA (423 nucleotides) under uncultured bacterium. RNAcentral describes it as "bacterial SSU rRNA". It matches the Rfam family "Bacterial small subunit ribosomal RNA", at positions 207 to 622 of the family's 1533-position model. The record is from RNAcentral.
AAGACCUUGCGUUUUUGGAGCGGCCGAUGUCUGAUUAGCUAGUUGGUGGGGUAAUGGCCUACCAAGGCCUCGAUCAGUAGCUGGUCUGAGAGGACGGCCAGCCACACUGGGACUGAGACACGGCCCAGACUCCUACGGGAGGCAGCAGUGGGGAAUUUUGGACAAUGGGCGCAAGCCUGAUCCAGCCAUGCCGCGUGAGUGAAGAAGGCCUUCGGGUUGUAAAGCUCUUUCAGCCGAGAAGAAAAGAUUGCGACUAAUAAUCGCAAUUCAUGACGGUACCGGCAGAAGAAGCACCGGCUAACUACGUGCCAGCAGCCGCGGUAAUACGUAGGGUGCGAGCGUUAAUCGGAAUUACUGGGCGUAAAGGGUGCGCAGGCGGUUUUGUAAGUCAGAUGUGAAAUCCCCGGGCUUAACCUGGGAACU